AAGGUUUUAAGUUAAACAAACUAAUAGCCUUCAAAGCUAUAAAUAAAGAACAUUUUUUUAAGCCUUA
Molecule: transfer RNA, 67 nt
Filed under: Hexacentrus japonicus
Lineage: Eukaryota; Metazoa; Arthropoda; Insecta; Orthoptera; Tettigoniidae
Description: tRNA-Trp
Source: RNAcentral